AUUGAACGCUGGCGGCAUGCCUUACACAUGCAAGUCGAACGGCAGCACGGGAGCUUGCUCCUGGUGGCGAGUGGCGAACGGGUGAGUAAUGCAUCGGAACGUGCCCUGAAGUGGGGGAUAACGUAGCGAAAGUUACGCUAAUACCGCAUAUUCUGUGAGCAGGAAAGCAGGGGAUCUUCGGACCUUGCGCUUUUUGGAGCGGCCGAUGUCGGAUUAGCUAGUUGGUGGGGUAAAGGCCCACCAAGGCGACGAUCCGUAGCGGGUCUGAGAGGAUGAUCCGCCACACUGGAACUGAGACACGGUCCAGACUCCUACGGGAGGCAGCAGUGGGGAAUUUUGGACAACGGGCGCAAGCCUGAUCCAGCCAUGCCGCGUGAGUGAAGAAGGCCUUC
RNAcentral lists this ribosomal RNA (392 nucleotides) under uncultured bacterium. RNAcentral describes it as "bacterial SSU rRNA". It matches the Rfam family "Bacterial small subunit ribosomal RNA", at positions 30 to 419 of the family's 1533-position model. The record is from RNAcentral.